Molecule: transfer RNA, 75 nt
Filed under: Candidatus Tagabacteria bacterium CG_4_8_14_3_um_filter_41_8
Lineage: Bacteria; Candidatus Tagaibacteriota
Also listed under: 1 other name
Description: tRNA-Val
Rfam family: tRNA
About the family: Transfer RNA (tRNA) molecules are approximately 80 nucleotides in length. Their secondary structure includes four short double-helical elements and three loops (D, anti-codon, and T loops).
Source: RNAcentral
GGGCGGUUAGUUUAAUGGUAAAACGCUGCAUUCACAUUGCAGAGAGUAUAGGUUCGAUUCCCAUACCGCCCACCA